Long non-coding RNA from Peromyscus eremicus (cactus mouse), 753 nucleotides. RefSeq lists it as uncharacterized. NCBI's taxonomy places the organism in Eukaryota, Metazoa, Chordata, Mammalia, Rodentia, Cricetidae. The transcript is spliced from 3 exons. The record is from RefSeq and is a predicted model, not a curated record.
CUAGCCUCUGGGGGAAGAGGAAGGGGUGCGCAUUGUCAUGGGGGCUCAUGUUCGCGGCCCACGCGUGGGAUCACAACGGCCGCUAGAGAGCAUCAGCAGCCAUGUACUUGGGGUCCCUGGAGGCUGUCAGCCUUGCAACCCCAAAAGAACGUGAGUGGGUGCCUGGUAAGAGGCGCCGGUGUGCACUAUCAGGACUCUCAGACACCGACCGGCCAUUCUCAGUCCUCCAGGCCCUGUGCCCUUGAGGGAAGGAGGGCCUCCGCAGCAAAAGUCAGCCUCUGCAUUUUUUCCUGGGCCCCUCGCUCCUAAGCCUCUUCCUGGCAGCAAACCCCAUCCCUCUGCUUCAAAGCUUUUACUGACAAGCCAAGAAGAUCUGGGUUUGGUUCCUGGAACGGACAUGGUGGCUCCCCACAAUCUGUCCCUCCAAUUCCACGCAGUCUUACACCUGCUUUUGGCCUUGGCAGACAUCAGGCAACCAUGAGACGCAAUACGUACAUGCAGGCUCAAGAUCUCCAUGAGAAGGCACGCAGGAUCUUCCCCUGGAGGGCUGGUGUGAUUCUGGUAUGUGCUAAAUACCAGCAGCUCGCAUUUGAUGCAUGACAAGCUGAAGGAACGAAGUAAAUCCCCGUGGACAACUGAGGCAGAGGAACAUGGUGACAGAAGGGAUGGUCUUCUUGUCACACCGUCGUCAGAAAGAUCUGGAAUGCCUCCCUGAUGUUCCCUGGAGCCUGUCUCGUUUAAUUCUCCCAGUAG